This 253-nucleotide ribosomal RNA is filed under the name uncultured bacterium. RNAcentral describes it as "partial 16S ribosomal RNA". It matches the Rfam family "Bacterial small subunit ribosomal RNA", at positions 524 to 776 of the family's 1533-position model. The record is from RNAcentral.
CACGUAGGGUGCAAGCGUUGUCCGGAAUUAUUGGGCGUAAAGAGCUUGUAGGCGGUUUGUCGCGUCUGCUGUGAAAUUUCGGGGCUCAACCCCGAACUUGCAGUGGGUACGGGCAGACUAGAGUGUGGUAGGGGAGACUGGAAUUCCUGGUGUAGCGGUGAAAUGCGCAGAUAUCAGGAGGAACACCGAUGGCGAAGGCAGGUCUCUGGGCCACUACUGACGCUGAGAAGCGAAAGCAUGGGGAGCGAACAGG